RNAcentral lists this long non-coding RNA (658 nucleotides) under Homo sapiens (human). Its description in RNAcentral is "non-protein coding lnc-GLMP-1:3". The record is from RNAcentral. Lineage: Eukaryota; Metazoa; Chordata; Mammalia; Primates; Hominidae.
UUCAAUCUGACGUUCGGGGCUUCCACAGGCCCUGGCUAUUGGGACCAACACUACCUCAGCUGGUCGAUGCUCCUGGGUGUGGGCUUCCCUCCAGUGGACGGCUUGUCCCCACUAGUCCUGGGCAUCAUGGCAGUGGCCCUGGGUGCCCCAGGGCUCAUGCUGCUAGGGGGCGGCUUGGUUCUGCUGCUGCACCACAAGAAGUACUCAGAGUACCAGUCCAUAAAUUAAGGCCCGCUCUCUGGAGGGAAGGACAUUACUGAACCUGUCUUGCUGUGCCUCGAAACUCUGGAGGUUGGAGCAUCAAGUUCCAGCCGGCCCCUUCACUCCCCCAUCUUGCUUUUCUGUGGAACCUCAGAGGCCAGCCUCGACUUCCUGGAGACCCCCAGACCAGUGUGCUUUUCUUGGAGAAAGAAGAAAAGAAGAAAGAAGGAAGAAGAAGAAGAAAGAAAGGAGGAAGAAGGAAGAAGAAGAGCCAGUGUGAUAAUACAUUGAGUGAUUUUUUAAAAAGUGCAUAUAUGAGCAAAAAGUUAUUUUUCCCUUUUCUGAAGUAUGGCAGCAUACUAUAUAGACUGUCUCUGCAUGUUUAUUUUUCCCCCAUUUAAUAUAUCCUGGAGAUCAUUUUAUAUCAAUAUAAAAAUGGUUUUCUCAUUCUUUUAUA